UAUCUUCGGGGGAGGGUGAGAUUCCCGACCGGUGGUAAGAGCUUGUUUUUCUUGCUCAAAGCCCACGAGCCAAACGAUAUUUUGGCAGAUGCGGUGAGUUUUUGCUGACAAUUCCGCAGCCGACGGUAAAGUCCGGAUGAGAGAAGAUU
Molecule: non-coding RNA, 149 nt
Filed under: human gut metagenome
Description: FMN riboswitch (RFN element)
Rfam family: FMN riboswitch aptamer (RFN element)
About the family: The RFN element is a highly conserved domain that is found frequently in the 5'-untranslated regions of prokaryotic mRNAs that encode for flavin mononucleotide (FMN) biosynthesis and transport proteins. This element is a metabolite-dependent riboswitch that directly binds FMN in the absence of proteins.
Source: RNAcentral